AACCUGGUUGAUCCUGCCAGUAGUCAUAUGCUUGUCUCAAAGACUAAGCCAUGCAUGUCUAAGUAUAAGUAUUAUACAGCGAAACUGCGAAUGGCUCAUUAAAACAGUUAUAAUUUAUUUGAUAAUCGAAUUUACAUGGAUAACCGUGGUAAUUCUAGAGCUAAUACAUGCUGGUAGGCCCGACUUUUUGGAAGGGCGGUAUUUAUUAGAUAACAAACCAAUAUUCCUCUGGUCUAUUGUGGUGAAUCAUAAUAACUGAUCGAAUCGCAAGGUUUUUAACCGCGAUAAGUCAUUCAAGUUUCUGCCCCAUCAGCUUUCGAUGGUAGUGUAUUGGACUACCAUGGCUUUUACGGGUAACGGAGGAUUAGGGUUCGAUUCCGGAGAGGGAGCCUGAGAAACGGCUACCACAUCUAAGGAAGGCAGCAGGCGCGUAAAUUACCCAAUCCUGACUCAGGGAGGUAGUGACAAGAAAUAACGGACCGAGGCCUUCGGGCUUCGGGAUUGCAAUGAGCCGAAUUUACACCCCUUAGCGAAGAUCGAUUGGAGGGCAAGUCUGGUGC
This 560-nucleotide ribosomal RNA is filed under the name uncultured marine eukaryote. RNAcentral describes it as "SSU rRNA". It matches the Rfam family "Eukaryotic small subunit ribosomal RNA", at positions 1 to 567 of the family's 1831-position model. The record is from RNAcentral.